UAGACAUUGACUGGUGUUGAUUUCGGACAUACAGUGAUGUCAUCUGGAGCUUUCUGCCAUGCUUACCAUGUUGAUGACACUCUCUUGCCAUGUCAUUAUCACAACUUCAGUCAUCAUGUUCAUGUUUAAAGUUGCACUGGCAUUUCAGCUUCAGACCAUCAAACUUUAAAGCAUCGUGAGGACUCUGAGCCAACCCUGGAAAAGUGUGCCCUUUCUGGUCCAGCACCUGUCUGUUUGCUCAGCUCCAUAAACGGCUGACUUAUAAGAGCUACUCACACAGUGUAGCUUUCACAUAAAGAGUAAAGAGCAUCUCUACUUGCUGCAAAUCUGGGUGUCUUGACAGACGGAUUUAAUUCGACCUCGCUUUCUGCCUGAUGUGGAGUGACACGCAAUACAGGCUGGUCUGGCAUAUCAGAUGGAUGAAAUUGCAUGUGGGGCUUUUUGGCUUCCACCUCCUCCCUCUUCUCUGAUCUUAGGCAAGAAUGGAGGUGCAAGGUACUGCAUCUGGGCCCCAGGAAUGAAGGUGACACUUUCUCUCUGGAGGCAACUUCUACAAGCACAGAGUGGAAUGGAAUUGACAGUGAGCUGUGAUAGAGGCAGCGCGCACCCCCAGCAGCAAGAGUGGCACCAUCAGGCUCCUUCUGGGAACUACAUCAGCAUCUCAGCAGCAAGCUGCCAGAGCUUUGAAGUGUGUCUAUUUGAAAAUGUGGUGAAUAGCAGAGGAAAGAAAAAAAAAUGAGAACAUAAUUGGAUGGAAGCAAUGAACUGCAUUUUCAGAAUUAGUCAAGAUUAGGCAAAAUGCUGGGGUUCUUAGUUCCAGCACUAUUUACAUUUUGAGUUGGGUCCAUGUGAUAACCAACAAUAUCUUCAGAUAUUUGCCAAAUGUCAUCUGGAAGGCAAAAUAGUCCCAAGUGAGGAUUACCUGGGAUGAA
Canis lupus familiaris (dog) is the source of this 932-nucleotide long non-coding RNA. RefSeq lists it as uncharacterized. The record is from RefSeq and is a predicted model, not a curated record. The transcript is spliced from 5 exons. NCBI's taxonomy places the organism in Eukaryota, Metazoa, Chordata, Mammalia, Carnivora, Canidae.